GACAUAGGUGGCGACCGUUAUCCGGAUUUAUUGGGCGUAAAGGAUGCGUAGAUGGCAGAACAAGUUAUUGGUCAAGGUCAAGCUCAACUUGACGGAAGCUAGUAAUACUGUUCUACUUGAGGAAAGGAGAGGUUGGCGGAAUUCUGUGUGGAGCGGUGAAAUGCGUUGAUCUACAGAGGAACACCAAAAAAGGCGAAGGCAGCCAACUAUUCUGUUCCUGACAUUGAGGCAUGAAAGCGUGGGGAGCAAACCGG
This 254-nucleotide ribosomal RNA is filed under the name uncultured bacterium. Its description in RNAcentral is "partial 16S ribosomal RNA". It matches the Rfam family "Bacterial small subunit ribosomal RNA", at positions 524 to 776 of the family's 1533-position model. The record is from RNAcentral.